This 513-nucleotide ribosomal RNA is filed under the name Calonectria kyotensis. Its description in RNAcentral is "SSU rRNA". It matches the Rfam family "Eukaryotic small subunit ribosomal RNA", at positions 39 to 556 of the family's 1831-position model. Lineage: Eukaryota; Fungi; Ascomycota; Sordariomycetes; Hypocreales; Nectriaceae. The record is from RNAcentral.
AAAGAUUAAGCCAUGCAUGUCUAAGUAUAAGCAAUUAUACAGCGAAACUGCGAAUGGCUCAUUAUAUAAGUUAUCGUUUAUUUGAUAGUACCUUACUACUUGGAUAACCGUGGUAAUUCUAGAGCUAAUACAUGCUAAAAAUCCCGACUUCGGAAGGGAUGUAUUUAUUAGAUUAAAAACCAAUGCCCUUCGGGGCUCCUUGGUGAUUCAUGAUAACUCCUCGAAUCGCAUGGCCUUGUGCCGGCGAUGGUUCAUUCAAAUUUCUUCCCUAUCAACUUUCGAUGUUUGGGUAUUGGCCAAACAUGGUUGCAACGGGUAACGGAGGGUUAGGGCUCGACCCCGGAGAAGGAGCCUGAGAAACGGCUACUACAUCCAAGGAAGGCAGCAGGCGCGCAAAUUACCCAAUCCCGACACGGGGAGGUAGUGACAAUAAAUACUGAUACAGGGCUCUUUCGGGUCUUGUAAUUGGAAUGAGUACAAUUUAAAUCUCUUAACGAGGAACAAUUGGAGGGC